CCGCCGUGAUGACCAACUUAGGACACCUUUGGAUUCAUGAUGAAACCAACCAAUCAGUCUGAGCGGC
This is a small nucleolar RNA of Doryrhamphus excisus (bluestripe pipefish), 67 nucleotides long. RefSeq annotates it as small nucleolar RNA SNORD58. The record is from RefSeq and is a predicted model, not a curated record. NCBI's taxonomy places the organism in Eukaryota, Metazoa, Chordata, Actinopteri, Syngnathiformes, Syngnathidae.